GCAUAUCAAUAAGCGGAGGAAAAGAAACCAACAGGGAUUGCCUUAGUAGCGGCGAGUGAAGCGGCAAAAGCUCAAAUUUGAAAUCUGGUACUUUCAGUGCCCGAGUUGUAAUUUGAAGAAGGUAUCUUUGGACCUGGCUCUUGUCUAUGUUCCUUGGAACAGGACGUCACAGAGGGUGAGAAUCCCGUGCGAUGAGAUGCUCCAGGUCUAUGUAAAGUUCCUUCGAAGAGUCGAGUUGUUUGGGAAUGCAGCUCUAAGUGGGUGGUAAAUUCCAUCUAAAGCUAAAUAUUGGCGAGAGACCGAUAGCGAACAAGUACAGUGAUGGAAAGAUGAAAAGAACUUUGAAAAGAGAGUGAAAAAGUACGUGAAAUUGUUGAAAGGGAAGGGCUUGAGAUCAGACUUGGUAUUUUGUAUGUUGUUCUUUCGGGGGCGGCCUCUACAGUUUACCGGGCCAGCAUCGGUUUGAACGGUAGGAUAAUGGUAAAGAAAUGUGGCAUUACUUGUGAUGUGUUAUAGUCUUUAUUGAUACUGCCAGUUUAGACCGAGGUCUGCGAUUUUAUCUAGGAUGUUGGCAUAAUGAUCUUAAGUCGCCCGUCUUGAAACACGGACCAAGGAGUCUAACGUCUAUGCGAGUGUUUGGGUGUAAAACCCGUACGC
RNAcentral lists this ribosomal RNA (657 nucleotides) under Insectozyma chauliodis. Its description in RNAcentral is "LSU rRNA". It matches the Rfam family "Eukaryotic large subunit ribosomal RNA", at positions 38 to 715 of the family's 3401-position model. Lineage: Eukaryota; Fungi; Ascomycota; Pichiomycetes; Serinales; Debaryomycetaceae. The record is from RNAcentral.